GGGCCCGUAGUCCAGCGGUUAAGAUGCGAGCCUUACACGCUUGAGACCGGAGUUCGACUCUCCGCGGGCCCA
This 72-nucleotide transfer RNA is filed under the name Candidatus Micrarchaeum sp. AZ1. It matches the Rfam family "tRNA". Rfam says of the family: Transfer RNA (tRNA) molecules are approximately 80 nucleotides in length. Their secondary structure includes four short double-helical elements and three loops (D, anti-codon, and T loops). Further hydrogen bonds mediate the characteristic L-shaped molecular structure. tRNAs have two regions of fundamental functional importance: the anti-codon, which is responsible for specific mRNA codon recognition, and the 3' end, to which the tRNAs corresponding amino acid is attached (by aminoacyl-tRNA synthetases). tRNAs cope with the degeneracy of the genetic code in two manners: having more than one tRNA (with a specific anti-codon) for a particular amino acid; and 'wobble' base-pairing, i.e. permitting non-standard base-pairing at the 3rd anti-codon position. RNAcentral also lists the same sequence under 3 other names. Lineage: Archaea; Nanobdellati; Microcaldota; Candidatus Micrarchaeia; Candidatus Micrarchaeales; Candidatus Micrarchaeaceae. The record is from Rfam by way of RNAcentral.